This 650-nucleotide ribosomal RNA is filed under the name Bacillus licheniformis. Its description in RNAcentral is "bacterial SSU rRNA". It matches the Rfam family "Bacterial small subunit ribosomal RNA", at positions 49 to 681 of the family's 1533-position model. Lineage: Bacteria; Bacillati; Bacillota; Bacilli; Caryophanales; Bacillaceae. The record is from RNAcentral.
CUAUACAUGCAGUCGAGCGGACCGACGGGAGCUUGCUCCCUUAGGUCAGCGGCGGACGGGUGAGUAACACGUGGGUAACCUGCCUGUAAGACUGGGAUAACUCCGGGAAACCGGGGCUAAUACCGGAUGCUUGAUUGAACCGCAUGGUUCAAUCAUAAAAGGUGGCUUUUAGCUACCACUUACAGAUGGACCCGCGGCGCAUUAGCUAGUUGGUGAGGUAACGGCUCACCAAGGCGACGAUGCGUAGCCGACCUGAGAGGGUGAUCGGCCACACUGGGACUGAGACACGGCCCAGACUCCUACGGGAGGCAGCAGUAGGGAAUCUUCCGCAAUGGACGAAAGUCUGACGGAGCAACGCCGCGUGAGUGAUGAAGGUUUUCGGAUCGUAAAACUCUGUUGUUAGGGAAGAACAAGUACCGUUCGAAUAGGGCGGUACCUUGACGGUACCUAACCAGAAAGCCACGGCUAACUACGUGCCAGCAGCCGCGGUAAUACGUAGGUGGCAAGCGUUGUCCGGAAUUAUUGGGCGUAAAGCGCGCGCAGGCGGUUUCUUAAGUCUGAUGUGAAAGCCCCCGGCUCAACCGGGGAGGGUCAUUGGAAACUGGGGAACUUGAGUGCAGAAGAGGAGAGUGGAAUUCCACGUGUAGCGG